UUCAACACUGCGGAAAAAGCACGUGCGGGGCCUCAAUGCCGCACGUGCGGGAGGUGUGCCGCACGUGCGGGAGAUCCUAGCCGCACGUGCGGCUCAAGGCAGAAAAGUUGGGAUGCUCCGUUUUGCCUGUUGGGCCCUCUAAUGUUGUCAAAACCUGCAAUUUAUAUUGUUUGAAAGUUCGUUAAUUUAAUCAAAGUAAGUGAACCGAAUGUUGAUUUAACAAGGAUAAAAAGGGACUAAUGUGAUUUUUCAUGUGUGUAGGAAACACCUCAAAAGGAAGUGCACUGCCACAACACAGUAAUCAACCAGGAGGUCGAUCUUAGCUCGGCAUCGUCAUACUUUUGUCAGCCUAGGCACAGCCAAGCUUGGGGUCGGGACCCUACUUUUGUGGAGUUGUUAGAUGAUGACUCACACUUUUGCUAUUGGCUUAAGUUGUUAUGUACUUAAUGUUUUUGUUAUAUACCCCAUCUCGGGGUUAGUUUUGUAUAUGCCUGUAAAUAACUAACUCUUAAAUGUAUUUUGGCUUUUGAUGUA
Camellia sinensis is the source of this 534-nucleotide non-coding RNA. NCBI's taxonomy places the organism in Eukaryota, Viridiplantae, Streptophyta, Magnoliopsida, Ericales, Theaceae. The record is from RefSeq and is a predicted model, not a curated record.